GCCGCUUAGCCAGGCAUUAAUGGGGGGUCAGGUGGCGGCUACCGCAGAGCGCCAACAACAUCUUCUCAACUCGGUGCAGCUGCUCCUUCUCCUGCUCCCCGAAGAGCAUCGCGAGUUACUGCAGCACAUUAUUAAAAUGCUCCAUUCGGUGGCAGCGCGUGAGGAGAGCAACAAGAUGUCCGCGGAGAAUUUGGCCAUCUUGCUUACACCGCACCUGAUUUGCCCCAGGCAAAUGCCGCCUGAGGCGCUCCACUAUACGGCGAAGAAGAUGUCCAGCAUUGUGUCCUACAUGAUUCAGCAGGGUCUGGAAAUCUUCGAAGUUCCCGGAAAGCUAGCCACCGAUAUUCGGGCGUACUUUCUUGAGCGCAAACGCAAAAAAACCAUGUCACCGGAGCAAACCCUUGAAGAAUCCAUCUCGGACGACUCGACGGUCAACACGGUGUACACUUUUGUAGAUCGUGCCGCCACGGCAGCGGCAAACAACAGCAAUUACACGGACACUGCACUGGCGCAGCUGUACGCGCACAUUCAGAGCCUUCCGGAGUCCUCCAAGAAGCGUCGCCUCAUCAAGCAGCUUAACAAGCAAAACGGACAAGGCACACCGCUGCAGGUCAUCGCGAGGAGCUCCAGCGUGCCAUAAGGGAGCAUCACGAGAAGCAUGAUGCCAAAAUGAUGCGCGCCAUGGAGGAGGCAGAGCCUAUGCCAUAAAUGCGGCUAAACUGAAACUGUAAACACUUUUGUAUGCGACGUAAUAAAGACUUGAAUGUACCCAAAGCA
Drosophila miranda is the source of this 777-nucleotide RNA transcript. It is a transcript of the gene named rho GTPase-activating protein 19-like, with no coding region annotated. Lineage: Eukaryota; Metazoa; Arthropoda; Insecta; Diptera; Drosophilidae. The transcript has 3 exons. The record is from RefSeq and is a predicted model, not a curated record.